AAACUUUGGAAGGAGGGCGCCAACAAGUUUCGUUCAGCAGCAGAGCAUCUGAUCCUUUGCAGAGCAGGUGCACAAAACCAGGUGGCCAGGAGGGUCUGGCCCACCAGCUCUGGUUUGCUCUGAGUCCCACAGACAACGGUACUGGUUAAGAAUGAAGGCCGCGGCUGCGUUUGGAAGGGUGACACGAGCUUGGAAGGCUCCUCUUCCCCACUGGCCGGUUGUAAUAGUCAGCUCAGGCUGUCAUAAUGAAGGAUCACAGACUGGGAGGCUGGAACAAGAGAAAUUAAUGGUAUCCCAGUUCUGGAGGCCGGAAGACCAAGAUCAAGGUAUCA
Long non-coding RNA from Zalophus californianus (California sea lion), 332 nucleotides. RefSeq lists it as uncharacterized. The transcript has 3 exons. The record is from RefSeq and is a predicted model, not a curated record. Lineage: Eukaryota; Metazoa; Chordata; Mammalia; Carnivora; Otariidae.